This 450-nucleotide ribosomal RNA is filed under the name uncultured bacterium. RNAcentral describes it as "partial 16S ribosomal RNA". It matches the Rfam family "Bacterial small subunit ribosomal RNA", at positions 354 to 796 of the family's 1533-position model. The record is from RNAcentral.
GUGGGGAAUAUUGGACAAUGGGCGAAAGCCUGAUCCAGCCAUGCCGCGUGUGUGAAGAAGGUCUUCGGAUUGUAAAGCACUUUAAGUUGGGAGGAAGGGCAGUAAGUUAAUACCUUGCUGUUUUGACGUUACCGACAGAAUAAGCACCGGCUAACUUCGUGCCAGCAGCCGCGGUAAUACGAAGGGUGCAAGCGUUAUUCGGAAUUACUGGGCGUAAAGCGCGCGUAGGUGGGUUUGUAAGUUGGAGGUGAAAUCCCCGGGCUCAACCUGGGAACUGCCUCCAAAACUGCAUGACUAGAGUACGGUAGAGGGUAGUGGAAUUUCCUGUGUAGCGGUGAAAUGCGUAGAUAUAGGAAGGAACACCAGUGGCGAAGGCGACUACCUGGACUGAUACUGACACUGAGGUGCGAAAGCGUGGGGAGCAAACAGGAUUAGAUACCCCAGUAGUCC